Molecule: ribosomal RNA, 245 nt
Filed under: uncultured Lachnospiraceae bacterium
Lineage: Bacteria; Bacillati; Bacillota; Clostridia; Lachnospirales; Lachnospiraceae
Description: partial 16S ribosomal RNA
Rfam family: Bacterial small subunit ribosomal RNA
Source: RNAcentral
UACGUAGGGGGCAAGCGUUAUCCGGAUUUACUGGGUGUAAAGGGAGUGUAGGUGGCCGUGCAAGUCAGAUGUGAAAUCCCGGGGCUCAACCCCGUGACUGCAUUUGAAACUGCGUGGCUGGAGUGCAGGAGAGGUAAGCGGAAUUCCUAGUGGAGCGGUGAAAUGCGUAGAUAUUAGGAGGAACACCGGUGGCGAAGGCGGCUUACUGGACUGUAACUGACACUGAGGCUCGAAAGCGUGGGGAG